CCUACGGGAGGCAGCAGUGGGGAAUAUUGGACAAUGGGGGCAACCCUGAUCCAGCCAUGCCGCGUGUGUGAAGAAGGCCCUCGGGUUGUAAAGCACUUUCAGUGAGGAAGAACGCCUGGUGGUUAAUACCCAUCAGGAAAGACAUCACUCACAGAAGAAGCACCGGCUAACUCCGUGCCAGCAGCCGCGGUAAUACGGAGGGUGCGAGCGUUAAUCGGAAUUACUGGGCGUAAAGCGCGCGUAGGUGGCUUGAUAAGCCGGUUGUGAAAGCCCCGGGCUCAACCUGGGAACGGCAUCCGGAACUGUCAAGCUAGAGUGCAGGGGAGGAAGGUAGAAUUCCCGGUGUAGCGGUGAAAUGCGUAGAGAUCGGGAGGAAUACCAGUGGCGAAGGCGGCCUUCUGGACUGACACUGACACUGAGGUGCGAAAGCGUGGGUAGCAAACAGGAUUAGAUACCCGGGUAGUC
RNAcentral lists this ribosomal RNA (465 nucleotides) under Vreelandella stevensii. Its description in RNAcentral is "partial 16S ribosomal RNA". It matches the Rfam family "Bacterial small subunit ribosomal RNA", at positions 338 to 795 of the family's 1533-position model. The record is from RNAcentral. Lineage: Bacteria; Pseudomonadati; Pseudomonadota; Gammaproteobacteria; Oceanospirillales; Halomonadaceae.